Long non-coding RNA from Trachemys scripta elegans, 395 nucleotides. RefSeq lists it as uncharacterized. The transcript has 3 exons. The record is from RefSeq and is a predicted model, not a curated record. Lineage: Eukaryota; Metazoa; Chordata; Testudines; Emydidae.
AUUCAUGGAGGAAGUCCCAAGAACAGAAAAUUGGAGGAGAGGAGUAUAACAAGAACACACCAUUUCUCCCUCCCAAUAACUAGGAAUCUCUGAGGGACGGAAAGUAGCAAAACCCAAUUCUCCAUCCUUGUAGCAGGCAAGGAAACCCUGGAUGUAGGAGAGAAGGCAGAAAACUCCUUCUCCCUUCCAGCACAGAAAGGAGGAACCUCCCCCCCUCUAGAAGCCUCAUUUAAAGACCCAGCUUGUAGCUGAUUGGAGGAUGCUUGACUAAAGGUCAUCAUGGGAAAUGUAGUCCUAAACUGGAAGCUAAAGCUUGGGAUAGUGGUAUAGGAAAACAGGUAUUCAGUAUUAGAAGUGCUAUGAAACCCUGUUUAGAUACAUUCAUGUGAAUGAAC